CCCCAGGAGGCCGGCGCUUGGCCGCCUUGACCAGUCCGGAGCCGCGCGCGGACGCGAGGUGGGUGGGUCUGCGGAAGCGGGUUCCUCCUCCUUUAAGGUUCGGUGACUCGUGGGCGGCCGGCCGCAGUGUCCGUGCACUUGUUUUCCGCAGAAGGUGAUUAUCGUGGCAACUCCUGUUAGUGCCUUCGCCGGGCACCCAGCACCCGGUCUCUGGCCCUUGGCACUCAGCACCCGGCACCCAGCGCUCAGCCUGCAGAGCACCUGGGCGGUCAAGCAGGACGUCUCCCGCGGGGUCUUGCGCUCUGCCAAAGAGCAGGAGCAGUGACCUUCUCGGUGGCUCUGAGGGGUAUGGGCUACCAUCAGAAAGUACAGUGGGUUCUGCUAAGCUGGCGGUCAAGCAGCAGAGACGUCGUGACACAUGGGGGACUGGAAGCCCAGACAGGGGACGCUAACAGAAAACGGACAGCAGAGAAGCAGCCCUGAAGCCCAGAGCCCACUCACCGUGGUCUGGUGACGAGGGUCCGCUCCCCGCCACGUGGCCUCCCUGCCCGCCCCCUCAGAUUACAGACUGCCAUGUCCGGACUCUUCCCCCGAGAGGCGGCCUGGAGGGGACCCUGGUGAGGCUGGAGUGGUCUCAGCCCCUGUGUUUCUGGGCCCCGCACACGCCUCUUGCUUGCCCCCAAUCCUUCUGCGACUUCCGUGAGGCCUGGGCUUCCCCGUACCCACGACUUGGCAGCUUGGGCCCUACGGUGUGAGCUGUUUCCCGCCGGUAGGACCCACGUGCCCCUGACCAGCCUUGGCCCUCGCCUGCCUCUGUCUCAGGUCCUGCCUCUGGCCCCGCCUCCCCUGGGGAUCCCGGCUCUGCCGAGUCUGGGACAGUCACUGCCACCUGUCACCUGGCAUUGUGCUGUGGCAGAGAGAAGCGUGACCACAGGAAGCACGCUCAGUCGUUCCCACCAGAAGGUUCUACUGCAGUCGGGGGUCCCCUUCCACCUCCUGAGUGGGGGACGGGCCUUGCCCUCCGCCCUCCGGCUCAGGCAGCUGUGAUAACGAGACAACAACGGUACCGCAGGUGCCCUCACGCAGAUUCCUGUAGGUCUUCCGCUGAAACCGAGGCUCUGAACCCCAACUACGAAACAUCUCCUGAGUUAAUGAGACUGACACCCCUCCCCCGCCCCCCCCCCCCCCGCCAUCCCGGAAAAUCCUGGAGAGGAGGAAACAUCCCUGGGGCUCCGGGAGCCUGGGCCCCUGCUGCCCUCCCUGGACCAGCCAGGUGAAGUCCGCCAGCUGUGACAAGAGCCCUGGCACCCGCCCGCACCUGUGUGUUCAGCUAGACGGCACAUCGUCAUACCAUAUGUGGCUCUUUGUACCUAUUUGCACGUGGACGUAAUACCACAAAUAAAACACUAAACGGGAGGAAUCAGGGAAAAACAUAGAACCCAGAAUGUUGGGGGCCACUUACGCUCCUCCGGGAAAGCAGCGGGGACACUGUGGACGUGUUAAUAUUUCUACCGCAGUGAGCCCACGUGUCAAAUGUCAAGUCUGUGUGUAAUUGUGAGAGAGAGCUAUAAAUAGAGGAAUUAUUAUAAUUCCGUCAUAAUUUGCUACUUGACCAAAAUAAACUAAUAAGAUAAAUAAACAUGGCUGCUUUUGCCCAACUGACUAAUAUGACCUGAAUAGAAAUAAAAUAUUGGAUGAGUUGGAGAUGCCAAGUUUAAGCUAGAUUAGCAACAAAAUCUCAGUGUGCCGCUUCGAUAUAAUUAACGGGAUGAUUUAAUGUGUUUUUCGCUCAGAAUCGUCGUGAGGCGUUUUUUUGCAAUAGCGUAGAAAUGAAUCCGCACGCGUCCGGGCUGCAGAGGAAUAAAAGGUUGUCAUAUUUUUGAGUCCUCUUGGCAGAGUGAUCCAUCUGGCACUGUGCAGGACAACGGAGAUGUUUUUCUUCCGAUCAUUCACAGCCAUUAUUUAAUGCGGGGUAACAGCCACAGUCUUCAUUAAUAUAUUAACCUAUGGCUCAAAAAGGCCUUGCAGUAAACCAACUGAGGACUCCUCACGACGGGUUCAUAUCAUAGGGCUUGGAGAGACUGAGCCGCGGAGACGCUGACCUCAGGGAUAAGCCCAGCGUUUGUUACCGACGGCAGAAGUGUGGCCAGCGAGUGAGGAGGGAGGUGGUCAGAACCCUCACGGAAGCCACUACACGCGGGACAGAGGGCCAGUUACAAACAUACACGAUACGGGGCGCCUGGGUGGCUCAGUCGGCUAAGCCUCCGACUCGGGCUCAGGUCAUGAUCUCGCGGUUCGUGGGUUCGAGCCCCACUCGUCGGGCUCUCUGCUGUCAACACAGAGCCCACCCUCUGUCUCCCCUCUCUGUCCCUUCCCCGCCUGCACUCGCUUGCCUUGUCUCUCUCAGAAGUAAAGAAACAUUCUUAAAAACACAUAUAUGAUACAACCUUAGAAUGCAAUACUUGGCGACCUCCGAAAGAACGUGGUAGAACCACCGUAUCUCACUGGCCUCAACUUCAGCCCCUCCAGCCUCCUGGCCUCUCUCCCACACGCAGGCCUUUCCCAGACCAAAGUUCCUGAGGCAGCACUUCCUUCAGGGAGAUCUGGAAGAGAGAGAAGGGGCGAGACCGAACACCUUCUCGGGAGGCCUCCUCUGGCCGCAAGGAUUUUUAUUUAUUUAUUUUUUAACUGCCGUGUUACGUUGAAUUCUUCCAGAAGCAAACCUUGAGUCAAGGAUUUUAAUGCUCCCAGGAGUACCAACUCUCCGCCCGUGGCUCUCCUCCCUGCCCCUGGCCGGACCAGAGAAAGACACUUGUUCCAGGAGGCCUUUGGCAGGUGCCGUGUGGAGGACACAGGGGCACCGACAAGAACCUCUUCUUACAUUUCUUUUUGAUAUUUUCUGAAAUUUGUACAUUGAACUUCUUGUAAGAAAAAGAAAAACUGUAUCCACUCAGAAAACAGCAAAAUAUACAUGCCCAUUACGUUGCCAGAGUUUCUGAAUGGAGAAGACCCUGUUUAAAUUUAGCCUGUGAUCUGAGCGAUAUUAAAGGGUUGGUCACUUUAGCCAGUGAUGACACUAAGUAGAAUUUUAUGCUAAUUGAACAUUUUUACUUCAAAAUUCAAAGUGUAGGGGCACCUGGGUGGCUCAGUUAAGCAUCAGACUUCGGCUCAGGUCAUGAUCUCACGGUCCGUGAGUUGGAGCCCCACGUCGGGCUCUGGGCUGCCAGCUCGGAGCCUGGAUCCUGCUUUGGAUUCUGUGUCUCCCUCUCUCUCUCUCUGUCCCUCCCCGGCUCACGCUCUCUCAAAAAGAAGUAAACGUUAAAAAAAAAAAAAUUCAACUUGUAUUAGUUUGCUCUGGCGUAAGCAAGAUGCAGUGUGAACAAGAUCAAGCAGCCGUGUGGGAAGCUGAGAGUUUCACCAGGACACGUGAACACAGACGUCCUGGGUCUACUGCGGGCCGGAGGCAUGGCAAACAGCGCGUCGGGAUCCAUGGGCUCGUGCGGGAACACUGAACGGAAACAAACACGGGUGUGGUGGCCCCCGCGGGGACUCGAGACUGCCUGAUGAUAAAGAAACGGCAAAGCAAAGGCGGCAGUGAGAAACCCUACACAACUAGUGAACCAGGCGUAGCUUCUGCGGAGAGGGGAAAGCGCCCGAGGAAGCCGUAAGUGCUCUAAUCCCAGAGCGUGCAGGUGCCACAUGCUGCAGACCGGGAAGCAUCUCCUGACCCAGGAGAACCCUGAACCCGGGAGAGCCUCAGAAAGAACACGAUUUGCUAAUGAAAACCAAUGACGCCUCCGAAAUACAGCCACGAGCAGAGGUGGCUUCAGCCUCUGAAAUACAACCACAAGUAGAUGUGGCUUCACGUUACUCAAACGCAAGAGCUGACCUCCGGGGCCCGCCCCCGGGAACAGAGGUUUGAUAAGGACUUUGGUAAUCAGGAAUGUGAUUGAUAACCAGGAUGAAAGCCACGGCGUUAA
Long non-coding RNA from Felis catus (domestic cat), 3980 nucleotides. RefSeq lists it as uncharacterized. The transcript is spliced from 3 exons. The record is from RefSeq and is a predicted model, not a curated record. Lineage: Eukaryota; Metazoa; Chordata; Mammalia; Carnivora; Felidae.